CCGACUGGAACCCCACCCCUUUCCCUCCUCGGGUUUUGCCUACAGGAGGAGUAUCCUCAGCUAAUAUCUAGGAGCAGCUGCCCGGGCUCAAACCCGCCCGGAAGUCGCGCCUCCGAACUUCAGAGGAAUGUGUGGGGCAAACUCUGCUAUAUAAGAUGAAUACAUUCUGCAACUGCACGGAGGCACUGUUGGGCAAUAACUUGGAAUUCUAGCUUGAAUGCAAGCAACUCUGGUGCCAUCCAUUCCAUAACAAACUCGUAGGGAUGGAAGCAGGAACCAAUUACAUUGGCAUCUGGCUUUUCUAAAAUGACUGAAUGCAAAGGUUUCUCACAGAAAAUGCUUCUCUGCUAUGCAAAACACACUCAAGUGAGAUGCAGAGACAGACAGAAAUUCAAUUUCGGGCAACAAAUGUUAGCCGAGUUUCAGAGACUACACCUAAAAGACUCUUUCUUACUCCCUUGGAGAAAUCUAAGAACAUUUGGAAACAACUUACACUCCUUUUGGGAGGAAUUGAAGAAACACUUUUGGAGGAUAUUAUGAAGAACUCCAUACACCAGGGAGGAGUGACUUAUAUUUAGCAGAUGGGAAGUUUAUCACGCUUGUGAUAUAAUAAUUGUUCAUGUAUUUCUGAGGAAGCUCAUUGUGAAAGAAGGACUUACCACGAAACUUGUCAAAUUAAGUGACUUGUGUAUAUACAGUGAUUCAUAUAUUAAGUGAUUUAUGUUAAUUAAGUGAU
Hemicordylus capensis (graceful crag lizard) is the source of this 736-nucleotide long non-coding RNA. RefSeq lists it as uncharacterized. NCBI's taxonomy places the organism in Eukaryota, Metazoa, Chordata, Lepidosauria, Squamata, Cordylidae. The record is from RefSeq and is a predicted model, not a curated record. The transcript has 3 exons.